This 250-nucleotide ribosomal RNA is filed under the name uncultured prokaryote. Its description in RNAcentral is "partial 16S ribosomal RNA". It matches the Rfam family "Bacterial small subunit ribosomal RNA", at positions 524 to 773 of the family's 1533-position model. The record is from RNAcentral.
UACGGAGGAUGCGAGCGUUAUCCGGAUUUAUUGGGUUUAAAGGGUGCGCAGGCGGGCGAUUAAGUCAGCGGUGAAAGGCGACGGCUCAACCGGAGCAGUGCCGUUGAUACUGGUUGUCUUGAAUGCGGUCAAGGCCGGCGGAAUGCGACGUGUAGCGGUGAAAUGCAUAGAUAUGUCACAGAACACCGAUAGCGAAGGCAGCUGGCCGGGCCUGCAUUGACGCUCAGGCACGAAAGCGUGGGGAUCAAAC